RNAcentral lists this ribosomal RNA (433 nucleotides) under uncultured bacterium. Its description in RNAcentral is "partial 16S ribosomal RNA". It matches the Rfam family "Bacterial small subunit ribosomal RNA", at positions 29 to 507 of the family's 1533-position model. The record is from RNAcentral.
AGCGAACGCUGGCGGCAGGCCUAACACAUGCAAGUCGAACGAACUCUUCGGAGUUAGUGGCGGACGGGUGAGUAACACGUGGGAACGUGCCUUUUGGUUCGGAAUAACUCAGGGAAACUUGUGCUAAUACCGAAUGCGCCCUUCGGGGGAAAGAUUUAUCGCCAUUAGAGCGGCCCGCGUCUGAUUAGCUAGUUGGUGAGGUAACGGCUCACCAAGGCGACGAUCAGUAGCUGGUCUGAGAGGAUGACCAGCCACACUGGGACUGAGACACGGCCCAGACUCCUACGGGAGGCAGCAGCGGGGAAUCUUGCGCAAUGGGCGAAAGCCUGACGCAGCCAUGCCGCGUGAAUGAUGAAGGUCUUAGGAUUGUAAAAUUCUUUCACCGGGGACGAUAAUGACGGUACCCGGAGAAGAAGCCCCGGCUAACUUCGUG